Molecule: non-coding RNA, 64 nt
Organism: Cephus cinctus (wheat stem sawfly)
Lineage: Eukaryota; Metazoa; Arthropoda; Insecta; Hymenoptera; Cephidae
Source: the annotation of a RefSeq genome assembly
ACUUAGAUAGUUUAAAUUAAAAUAAUGAUUUGUGGUGUCAUUGAUAUAUAAUAUAUUCUAAGUU